Myxocyprinus asiaticus (Chinese sucker) is the source of this 1210-nucleotide long non-coding RNA. RefSeq lists it as uncharacterized. The transcript has 2 exons. NCBI's taxonomy places the organism in Eukaryota, Metazoa, Chordata, Actinopteri, Cypriniformes, Catostomidae. The record is from RefSeq and is a predicted model, not a curated record.
UUAUUCUUAUACAUUCAUCGUUUUAUCCUUUGCCACUUUACCGUGUGCUUCGGGUUUUUCCACUUCUCUACUGUUUCAUCUGUGUGUGUUAUACCGUGCACAACCGUUUCUCUCUGGGGUUUUUUCUUUCUUUUCUCCGCUUUUUUCCGCUUGUCUACAUCUCGCGUCUCAACUGCGUGCAUUCGUUGUUCUCCACUGUUUUACAUGGAUCAUUGCAUCAAUCUCAAACAUCUGUUGAUUUGGAACCACAUCAAUCUCAAACACUCGCCGCUCAAGAACAACCAUACCAACAACAAACAAUUGCGGAUUCAUCUCCCGAAGUUACCAGAUCCUGCCAGAUCCAUUCCUGAUUGGUGUCGGACUCCACUGCUACGUGUCGCUGAGAGAUGAUGACAAACUACAGCCGGUGCUAGCAAGACAUCACUUCAGUCUUUUGACUUCAGAGGAUGAUCUGAUGCCAACUACUGUAAGAUAUUGGAUACUUCAUAUGCCACUGCCAGAACCUUGGACUUAGGAUGGACCUCACAGAAUCUCACCAAAAUGACCUGCAGGUUGAACUGCGAUGCACCUCAUUAAUCUCUGCCUGCAUCACCUUUGUCUAUUGAUGGACUACACUCUUGAAAUGGAAUACAUAGACUAUCAUUUAACUGCCAACAAAAGCUUUCAUCAGCCAACUAACAAAGGACAAUGCAUCUAUGUUAACUUCUGCAGUUAAUCCAGGAUGGACUUCAAAGACAUUAGUUAUUAAUCUUAAAGUUCAUAAAAAAUAUUUUAUUUUUAAAACACUGGACAUUAAUGCUUACUUAAUUUACAAAUUUAAAGCCAUGACUUGCACUGCACACAAAUAACUAAUAUUGGCAUUAUAUUCAUGUUGUUUAGCCAGAGGUGAACUGGCCCCCACAGUGAGCCUGGUUUCUCCCAAGGUUAUUUUUCUCCAUUAAACAAUAUCUUAUGAGGUUUUGUGUUCCUUGCCACAGUUGCCUUCAUCUUGCUCACAGGGGUUCUAAAUACAAUUAUGAUUUAAUUAUUUAAUUUUAUACACAUUUUACAAUCAUAUUUAAUUAAACUACACAAUGAUCACUGUAAGACAUUAGAGAUAUUACAGAUUCAUUCUUUGUUUUUGUUUAUGUUAAUGCAUGAUUUCCUGUAAAGCUGCUUUGAAACUACGUGUUGUGAAAAGCGCUAUACAAAUAAAAAUGACUUGACUUGA